Schistosoma curassoni is the source of this 78-nucleotide non-coding RNA. Lineage: Eukaryota; Metazoa; Platyhelminthes; Trematoda; Strigeidida; Schistosomatidae. The record is from Rfam.
AGCUUUUCGAAUCCGUGCUGAGAUUUCUUCAAACACCAACCCAUUAAUGCUGGUCAGACUUCCAAGAUAAGUGAAGUU